Molecule: ribosomal RNA, 253 nt
Filed under: uncultured bacterium
Lineage: Bacteria
Description: partial 16S ribosomal RNA
Rfam family: Bacterial small subunit ribosomal RNA
Source: RNAcentral
UACGUAGGGCGCAAGCGUUAUCCGGAAUUAUUGGGCGUAAAGAGCUCGUAGGCGGCUUGUCGAGUCUGUCGUGAAAGCCCGGGGCUCAACUCCGGAUCUGCGGUGGGUACGGGCAGGCUAGAGUGAUGUAGGGGAGACUGGAAUUCCUGGUGUAGCGGUGAAAUGCGCAGAUAUCAGGAGGAACACCGGUGGCGAAGGCAGGUCUCUGGGCAUUAACUGACGCUGAGGAGCGAAAGCAUGGGGAGCGAACAGG